Molecule: ribosomal RNA, 1234 nt
Filed under: metagenome
Description: bacterial LSU rRNA
Rfam family: Bacterial large subunit ribosomal RNA
Source: RNAcentral
UGAAUACGAGACGCUAAGGCGUCGAAGUAGUGUAUGUCAUACUUCCAAGAAAAGCUUGCACUGUCAUAAAUAAAGAAUGCCUGUACCAUAACCGACACAGGUGGGUAAGUAGAGUAUACUAAGGGGCGCGAGAUAACUCUCUCUAAGGAACUCGGCAAAAUAACUCCGUAACUUCGGGAGAAGGAGUGCCUUAUUCUUAAGGUUGCAAUAACAAGAUCCAAGCAACUGUUUAUCAAAAACACAGGUCUCCGCUAAGUCGUAAGACGAUGUAUGGGGGCUGACGCCUGCCCAGUGCCAGAAGGUUAAAGAAGUCGGUUAGCAAUUGCGAAGCUGGUAACUGAAGCCCUGGUGAACGGCGGCCGUAACAAUAACGGUCCUAAGGUAGCGAAAUUCCUUGUCGGGUAAGUUCCGACCCGCACGAAAGGCGUAAUGAUUUGGAUGCUGUCUCGGAGAGAGGCUCGGUGAAAUAGACUUGUCUGUGAAGAUGCGGACUACCUGCACCAGGACAGAAAGACCCUAUGAAGCUUUACUGUAACUUGAAAUUGAAAUUGGACUUUACUCGCGCAGUAUAGGUGGGAGGCGUUGAUUAUAAUCUCGUGGGAUUAUUGGAGCCAUCAGUGAGAUACCACUCUUGUAAUGUUAGAUUUCUAACUUUGAAUCAUUAUCUGGUCAAAGGACAGUUUCAGGCGGGCAGUUUGACUGGGGCGGUCGCCUCCUAAACGGUAACGGAGGCGUACAAAGGUUUCCUCUGAACGGUUAGAAAUCGUAUCUAGAGUGUAAAGGCAUAAGGAAGCUUGACUGUGAGACCUACAAGUCGAGCAGGGACGAAAGUCGGUCUUAGUGAUCUGACGGUACUGAGUGGAAAGGCCGUCACUCAACGGAUAAAAGUUACUCUAGGAUAACAGGCUGAUCUCCCCCAAGAGUUCACAUCGACGGGGAGGUUUGGCACCUCGAUGUCGGCUCAUCGCAUCCUGGGGCGGUAGUACGUCCCAAGGGUUGGGCUGUUCGCCCAUGAAAGCGGUACGCGAGCUGGGUUCAGAACGUCGUGAGACAGUUCGGUCCAUAUCCGGUGUAGGCGCUAGAAUAUUGAGAGGAGCCUUCUUUAGUACGAGAGGACCGAGAAGGACAUACCUCUGGUGUACCAGUUAUCGUGCCAACGGUAAACGCUGGGUAGCUAUGUAUGGAGUGGAUAACCGCUGAAAGCAUCUAAGUGGGAAGCCCACCUCAAGAUAAG